This 74-nucleotide transfer RNA is filed under the name Thermoprotei archaeon. Its description in RNAcentral is "tRNA-His". It matches the Rfam family "tRNA". From Rfam's summary of the family: Transfer RNA (tRNA) molecules are approximately 80 nucleotides in length. Their secondary structure includes four short double-helical elements and three loops (D, anti-codon, and T loops). Lineage: Archaea; Thermoproteati; Thermoproteota; Thermoprotei. The record is from RNAcentral.
GCCCGGGUGGUGUAGCCUGGGAACAUGCCGGCCUGUGGAGCCGGAGAUCCCGAGUUCAAAUCUCGGCCCGGGCC